UACGCAAUAGGCCUGUAUAAUGAAGGGUUAGGAGCAGGAGGCAGAGCAUACAUGGGUGAGGAUAACUUUUAUGGUUGCUGGAAAUGGACAGCCUUGACAGCCCGACAAUGCUGCAAAAUUAUAAACCACACAGACAAACAGUAUUUGCCAAUAUCAUAACUGGAGCUGGACAACUUUCGCGCUGAAGAUUGAGGCCAGCUUUUGUAUGCUAGCGCACACUCCUUAACAGUUUUACUGGAUGAAAACACAGCAAGAAAACACAUUGGCCAAUAUGUAAAAGGCGUCUAUUUUAUUGCAAUAUUGGUGGUGGUUGGUUGAACAAACAUAGGUUUUGUGCUCCAGUAUUCUCUUAGGGAGUUCUUCUUUACUAUUCCCAUGAGGACUGUCACCAGAAAGCUCCAAGGCAUAGCGAUUGGUCUCCUCUACUAUGUCUCCCACCAGCUCCUCUGUCAGAAACAACUUGAAGCACUCUGCCUCAGAUGGAAAUGGCAAGAGGCUUUGCACUCCAGACUGGGACUCAUCAAAGCAAACAGCAGGGCCAGGAGGGGUGAAAUGGCUGGCGGCCUUCCAGCUACCACAGAACUCCUGUACUUCAUCCACUGUCGGUCUGCCUCCAUCACCACCAGCAUCCUCAAAGGGACCUGGGACCUCAUCAGUGGACAAGGUGUCCUCAGAUUCAGGGUUCUCAAUGGCUACAAGGUUAGGGGGCAGCUCCUCACUGUCACUAUCACUGUCAGAAUCUGAUUCUUGACUUUCAUACUAAGACUCAUUGUCAGAAUUUAAAAUAUUCUCCAGAAUUUCCACAUUUAUGAGUUGUCUCCUUUUGAAAGACAUUGCUAAUGCUACAGCUUAGCUCACUAGCUACAUACAUAAACUACAACACUGAAUGGCUCAGAGUGGGAGUGAGAGUUUACGUGAUUGACUGCCG
RNAcentral lists this long non-coding RNA (928 nucleotides) under Salmo salar (Atlantic salmon). Its description in RNAcentral is "lncRNA (ENSSSAG00000088362.1)". The record is from RNAcentral. Lineage: Eukaryota; Metazoa; Chordata; Actinopteri; Salmoniformes; Salmonidae.